AACCUUUAUUUUUAUUUUUAUUUUUACCAUCCUUAUUUUAUGUUAUUGUUUUGAUUUUUGUCCUGAAUUGAGUUAAAAAUAUUAGAUGGGGCCAACCCACUCCCAUCUAAUCUCUCUCUCACUCCCUCGUCUAGGGCCCAAGUCUUCGGGAAUCAUAUUUAAGCCAAAAAAAAAAAUACCAAAUACAAAACAUUAAACCUAGUUUUGAAAUACGUCUAUACAACAAAAGCAUUAAAAUUCAACAUCUGCAAUAAUGUACACUAAACCUUGAAGACAAAUGUAUUAAUUCCCAAGAUCUUGAGUAAAUCUGGAAGAUGGCGGUUGGAUAUGAAAAUGGAGCAACACAGAGAAACUAAAAGAGCUUAUGUCUGUUGGGGUUCACAUCGAAAACACCAACGCGGCGGUGGACGAAAAUAACUCACAGAUAAGCAUGGAUGACGACGUCGAUGAGAAUAUUGAAAACACCAACGCUAUGGUCGAAGGAAAUAAUUCACCGGUAAACAUGGACAACGACGUUGAUGAGAAGCCUAAUCGUCCAAUGGUCAGAAGAUUAAGGAAGAUGUUACUGAUGUUGGUGGUUGGUGAUAUCUUUACGAUAUUCAUGUAAUUCUUUUGAAGAAGAGGUUUGGUGGUUGGUGAUGUCUUUCUGUUUUAUCUUAUUUAAUAUAUCUUCUAAUUUUUAGAACCACUAGAAAGUGAUUUGAAGAAGAGGUUUGGUGAUCUCUUUAUCAUAUUCAUGUAAUUCUUUUGAAAUUAAUGGAUGAUUGUCUUUGUUUUGUUAUUAUGAUUGUGCAAGUUAAAGUUACCAAUGCUAAAAACUUUCCACCAACCACUACAACUAAGUUGUGUAUACAAUACUUGGUUCAAUGGUUAUAUUUAAUAUUUUUUGUAUGUUUUUUAAAGCUAGUAACUUUUUUGACAUUUCUUUUGUGUACUAAAGGAAUUCUCAUGACAGCUCAGAAGAAGAGGUCAUAUGAUGAUGAGGAGCCUAAAAAAAGAGUAAGCCAUUUGAGACAAAAGUUGAUGAAAACCUAAGGAAAAAGUAAAAGAGAUUUCAUAUAAUGAUGAAGAGCCAACAAAUCCACAAGCUGAACAAAAGGGUGGUGACAUAGAAAUGGUUGAUAAUCCAUCAGGGAAGAAGGCAGUGAGUGUUCCAAUAUAUUCAUACACAUUGUGUUCAUAGGGUAUAUGAUUGUAUCAUAGUAAUAUACAUUGUAAGGUUACAUCCUCUAACACCGACUAUUGCUAAAGCUAUGGGAUACGAAAACUUUGUUUAUGAGCAA
Molecule: non-coding RNA, 1283 nt
Organism: Lactuca sativa (garden lettuce)
Lineage: Eukaryota; Viridiplantae; Streptophyta; Magnoliopsida; Asterales; Asteraceae
Source: RefSeq, a predicted model, not a curated record